CCUGUGGAUGCUGGAUGACCUGAUGGAUCCCAAUUAAUCACCAGUAUAUUGGCAUGGUCUCAGCAGGAUGGUGCCCUACUUCAUGCUCAGGGAUAAGGGAAAAUGAUUUCAAAGUUUGUUCGCAUUUAAACUUUCUGACAGGUAGGUCCCCGACAUUGAAUAGUAGUGCAGUACAUGCACCUUGAAAAUCAACUUCUCCUCAGCAAACGCUGUGCUUUCUUGACUGUAUUAUACAUUGUUAAUUUGCAGUUG
Molecule: unclassified non-coding RNA, 252 nt
Filed under: Hevea brasiliensis (rubber tree)
Lineage: Eukaryota; Viridiplantae; Streptophyta; Magnoliopsida; Malpighiales; Euphorbiaceae
Source: RNAcentral